This 564-nucleotide ribosomal RNA is filed under the name Ochrobactrum sp. KAs3-4. RNAcentral describes it as "bacterial SSU rRNA". It matches the Rfam family "Bacterial small subunit ribosomal RNA", at positions 55 to 665 of the family's 1533-position model. The record is from RNAcentral. Lineage: Bacteria; Pseudomonadati; Pseudomonadota; Alphaproteobacteria; Hyphomicrobiales; Brucellaceae.
AUGCAAGUCGAGCGCCCUUUUCGGAGGGAGCGGCAGACGGGUGAGUAACGCGUGGGAAUCUACCUAUCUCUAGGGAAUAACUCAGGGAAACUUGUGCUAAUACCCUAUACGUCCUUCGGGAGAAAGAUUUAUCGGAGAUGGAUGAGCCCGCGUUGGAUUAGCUAGUUGGUGGGGUAAAGGCCUACCAAGGCGACGAUCCAUAGCUGGUCUGAGAGGAUGAUCAGCCACACUGGGACUGAGACACGGCCCAGACUCCUACGGGAGGCAGCAGUGGGGAAUAUUGGACAAUGGGCGCAAGCCUGAUCCAGCCAUGCCGCGUGAGUGAUGAAGGCCCUAGGGUUGUAAAGCUCUUUCACCGGUGAAGAUAAUGACGGUAACCGGAGAAGAAGCCCCGGCUAACUUCGUGCCAGCAGCCGCGGUAAUACAAAGGGGGCUAGCGUUGUUCGGAUUUACUGGGCGUAAAGCGCACGUAGGCGGAUUGGUCAGUUAGGGGUGAAAUCCCAGGGCUCAACCCUGGAACUGCCUUUAAUACUGCCAGUCUUGAGUAUGGAAGAGGUGAGUGGA